RNAcentral lists this ribosomal RNA (494 nucleotides) under uncultured bacterium. Its description in RNAcentral is "partial 16S ribosomal RNA". It matches the Rfam family "Bacterial small subunit ribosomal RNA", at positions 28 to 523 of the family's 1533-position model. The record is from RNAcentral.
GAUGAACGCUAGCGGCAGGCCUAACACAUGCAAGUCGAGGGGUAGUUGUCUUCGGACAAUGAGACCGGCGCACGGAUGCGUAACGCGUAUGCAAUCUACCUUAUACUAAGGGAUAGCCCAGAGAAAUUUGGAUUAAUACCUUAUAGUUAAUAGAGUUGGCAUCGACUUUAUUAUAAAGAUUAAUUGGUAUAAGAUGAGCAUGCGUCCCAUUAGUUAGUUGGUAAGGUAACGGCUUACCAAGACGAUGAUGGGUAGGGGUCCUGAGAGGGAGAUCCCCCACACUGGUACUGAGACACGGACCAGACUCCUGCGGGAGGCAGCAGUGAGGAAUAUUGGUCAAUGGGCGCAAGCCUGAACCAGCCAUGCCGCGUGCAGGAUGAAGCAUCUAUGGUGUGUAAACUGCUUUUGUACGGGAAGAAAAAAAGCUACGUGUAGCUUACUGACGGUACCGUAAGAAUAAGGAUCGGCUAACUCCGUGCCAGCAGCCGCGGUAA